Molecule: long non-coding RNA, 4743 nt
Organism: Sparus aurata (gilthead seabream)
Lineage: Eukaryota; Metazoa; Chordata; Actinopteri; Spariformes; Sparidae
Source: Ensembl
GAAGAGCUUCACACGGAAGCAGCAGCACAUGGAGGCAGGAUCACACGAAGGCAGGAUCACACGGAGGCAGGAUAUCAGCUCUCAUGGCUUCACAUCUCUUCUUCUUGUUCCUUCUGUAUCAAGCAGCCUCAGAGACUGUGGUGAUACGAGUGGAACCUGGACAGGAUGUAAUUCUGCCGUGUGACGCUGGUGACACUUCUAUCAGAGCUGCAGAGUGGAUCAGAUCUGACCCGAAGCCAUCAGAGGACAUCCUGUUUUGGACAGAUGGACACUCAGACACCUUUAAAGAUCGAGUGUAUCUGGUGAACGAUCAGCUGAAGACUAGAGACGUGUCUCUGAGCCUGAAGAACGUGAGCAGAGAAGACAACGGUACUUAUGAGUGUCGAGUUAAAACACCUGGUUCAAGACGUAACACGAGAGCUGUCAUCAAGUCUGAGCCAAUCAGCAUCGUCCAGCUGCAGGUGACAGACCCAGGUGAGUGUGUGUAGAUCAGUGUGUGUGUCUGUGUGUAGAUCAGUGUGUGUGUCUGUGUGUAGAUCAGUGUGUGUGUCUGUGUGUAGAUCAGUGUGUGUGUGUCUGUUCACUCAUGUGCUGACUGAUGUUCACUGUCACCUGCAGAGAACCAGAAGGAAUACAUCAGCGGUGGAGACAUCAAGGCUGAAAACUCUGCUCCUCACCACGUUGGAUUGGGAGCAGCAGUUGGUGUUCUGGUUUGUUUGACUUUUUCUUUUCAGCAAAUCUAAAAGACAAAGAGAAAAGAAACCAGAACCGCCUGCUCUUAAUCUCAUCUGAUAUGAUCCGAUCAGCUGACAUGUCACAGACCUCUUUACAGAAUGUGUUUAUUACCUGUUUGAUGUUCAUUCUCUCUGUGGGUGAGAGUUCAGGUAUAGAUCAGGUGUUUGAGGCUCUCCAUCAGGAUGAUCUGGUAUCAGUAAUGUUCCCCUUCAUGAGUCACUACCUUAUCGUGGUGAUGGGGUUUGUGUACCUGUUGACUCUGGGAUCUGUGUUGUCUGGAGCACUGAAGCUCCUGGUAGGGUCCCCCAUGACAAAGUGGUCCCAGAGGAGGGUCAGACUAGAUGUGACUCCAGUGUUAUUAUUAUUAUUAUUAUUAUUAUUAUUAUUAUUAUUAUUAUUAUUGUUAUUAGGGGGCCAAGCCCGAGGGGCCGAGGAAACGUGUAUGCAAGCAUAUGCGUUUCCUUUUUGCCUGUCACUAAAGCUGGGUUUUCUGACAUAGGACACGCCCACUUCUGCUGCACAUUUUGUUUGCUAAAGCGCCACAUAUGCAAAACCUACUUUUUCGAACUCCUCCUUGGGAUUUUGUCCAAUCCCCGAUGACAGGGAGCCUGUGAGUUGCGGAGUGUUGGAGGAUUGUGGUGUUGAAGUUCGUCUUCUAAUGUGUUGCUCCUUAAGUUAAAAAAAGGGGAAAAGUUAAUGUCACAGAGUUCUACUAACAGAUAGAUAGAUAGAAUUACUUUAAUUAGAAGAGAAUUUAAUUUAAAGAUACAUUUUUAAAAUUAAAUUUUUUAUUUAAAAUAAUUUAAUUUAAAGAAUUUAAAGAGAAUUUAAUUUAAUUUACUUUAGAACAGAAUCAGUCUUGGAUUGAUCACUUUGGUUUAUUUUACAAAGAGUCAGAACAGAACAGCUGUUAGCUUCCCUGAGAGAACAGAGUGUUGUGUUUCAGAGAUGAGUGAUGGUGUAACAUCAUGUUGUGUCCCACAUCAUUAAUCUCAGAGAUAACUCAGUCUUUUAUUUCUCACCUGCUGAUCAGACAGCUGAUGAGGCGUCUUACUGACCUGAGCACGGUUCAUUUAGUGUUAGCAUCUUUGGCUAACAGCUCCACUAGUGUUAGCAUCAGGUGGAUACAUCCAGUCACACACAUCCGGAUCAGAACCAGACACUGGUAUUGGCUCGGUCCGUCUUUAGUCUUGUGGUGUGUUCAGGUGCAGCUCAGACUCAGGAGACGUCUUCAGAGUCAGUUUAGUGUGUGGGCCUCUGACAGGUGGAUCAGUACUGAUGGAUCAGACGUGGUGGACCCGGUCAGAACCGCAGCUUUGUCCUCAGAUUUAGAGUCUCUAACAGAACAUGAAGCCCACAGAGAGUCUGAAAUCAGCUGUAAAGAGGUCUGAAACAUGAACAGCAGGAUGAUGCAUUUCAUAUUUUAUAUAAUAACAGCUUGUGUCUGCUUUGAUUUAUAUAUUUGAUGCUUCUGAUGUUAAUAAGACAUAAUGUUGUAUUUUUUAUAUCCAGGAGUAGACUGAAGUCUGCUGAAUGUAAAACUUAAAACAAAGAUGAGACGUGAAGUCAAAGUGUCUCAGAGGAACCUGCAGGACGAGCUCAGCACUAAAAACCUUCAGACACUUAAUGACACAGAUGUUACUGUGGGAACAAACAUCUGGAUAUUAUUAUUAUUAUCUACUGAGUAGAAUCACAUGAUGUGAAAUAAUCUGACUUUUACCAAAGAACUGUUCAAAGUUGAAGCUGAGGCACAAUUAAUGAUCCUGUGAUUUAAUUCUUAUCAGAAAUUCACAGAAAUAUGAUAAUAAUAAUGAUAAUAUAAACCUUCAAUAACAGACAGAAAACUCUCCUACUGUGAUUAUAGAGCUUUUAUUUUUAUAUGAAAUGAUGAAAUGUUUUUGUUGUGUUUGUUACAUUGUGUUCUCGUCUAUCAGAUCGUUACAUCACAUUAUUAUAUACAAGUUAUAUAAUAAUUACACAACAUGAGAACAUUUAAAAAGAAGAAAGAACACAUACACAAACUUUAGCAGUUUUAGCAUCUCAUGCUAACAGACGCACCUUAAAAUGUAAAACAGAACCAGGUGCUGUUUGUUCUGAAUGUCCUGUUGUGUUUAUAUGUUAACAUGUUUGAGUCGGUUUCUGGCUUUUGAAAUGUAUUCAACAUUUAUUUUGCACAUGCAAGCAAAGAUUAAUAAAGUAUCUAACAAAAAGUCAGAACUGUUUUUCUGUGUUUUUUACAGUGGCUUUAAUCUAAACUAAACUAAUAUAAUAUAAUAUAAUAUAGUAUAAUAUGAUAUAAUCUAAUCUAACUCUUCCAUAAAUAUUCCAAAACGUGUUGACACUAAAUUUAAAUUUGAAUUUAAUUCUGAGAAAAUACAAAGUGUAACCAAACUGUAUUUUGUGACAAAACACUGAUGCUCCAACAUCUUUAUAUAUCUAUAAAAUAGUAAAAACCUGAAAAGAGCUGAAUAUACUUUUACAGCAGAUUUAUAUAAAGUGAGCAGGACUGAAGCUCACAGUGAGUUUCAUUUCUGGAGAACUGAAUGUUGAAGUGGUUUAUCUGCUGUGCAGCCACACCCUCAGUUACACCACAGCAGAGUUUCAUAUAACAGCCUGUAAUCACACAAACAGCUUCAACACAAUAAUUAUAUUAAAACAGGUUUGUGUGAGUUACAUUUAGUCACCUGAACGUCUCAUCACACUGAGUUGAUGAAGGUUCAUUUAGAACAACAUGUUUAUGAAACACAGUCUUCAGUUUGCUCUGAUCUCUGCAGAAUAACUCAGUCUGUGUUUCAUGUUUCAUGAGUUUCAGACAUUUUCUCUUUUUUAUGUAUAUUCAGCUUCUGCUUUCUGUCAGCUGAUGGGAAUUUAACUCACACAGAUAUUCACAUAAACAACAUGUUUCUGUUCCUUAACUAAAGCUGUGGAUGAUCUGAGCUGCUGAAACACACCUGAGUCUCCAGGUAACCUGCCAGGUAACAGCUAACACCUGUCCUCCUGUCCUCAGAGACAGAGUUCAGUCUGACUUCUCUACAACAUCAACAGGCUCAGAAACACGUCUCAGAUCAGUUACUUUAUGACUUUUGAACCAUGUCCAGCUUUUAGGACUGCAGUCACACCCAGUUAGUGAUAAGAAAAGCUUAUCACUGAUUCGCUUUCAUUUCUUGCAAACUGCAGUCCGUUUCCGAGAAAUGGAAACUCCCCAGAGCUCAACAUGGCGUCAGUGUUUGUGAACAGUCAUCAGAGAGCUUAAAAUGGUGUUUAGGUGGAGCUUGUGGUCUGAAAGCGCUCUGAGCUCUAGUUACUGAGCACCUCCCCCACAAUCUGCAACAGGACGAGGUUUCAACAUGAGAACAGACCGCUGCUGUCUGACUGCUUUUACUGUGCAGAGAAACAGACUGACAAUAUAGAAGAAAUGAGGUUUAUCAUGAAUCUAUUCACUGUGAAUGACCUCAUAUCUGAAAUAUAAUAGAUAUGAUUCAUCUGCUGUGGGAAGAAUAUUGAAUGUCUGCAUUGUUGUUGGAACAACUGACGAACACAGAGACUGAACUCCUCCACUGUGAGCUGAGAGUCAAAUGUUCCACUGUGAAUUAUUGAUAGGACUGAAAACUGGAGGUGAAGAGAACGGUUGACUCUUUAUCAGGACUCUCUGAUCAAACUGUCGUCUGUCUUCUGGACACUUGGUCACCUAUGUGUUCACAAUAACACACCUUGUUUUAUCUGCCACUGUUUGUGUUUCAUCACGUUGUGUUGAAUGUGUCAAUAAGAGUGACGAAUGAAAACUUUGUUGGCCGACAGUUUUCUGUAGUUCAUCCUGUUGAACUCCUUCAUGAUCCUGUUCAUCAUCACAGUUCAGUCACAGAACUCUGCAUCCAGAACUUCUGCUGUUCUGAACGUAGAGAACCAGUCAGGAAACAUGAACUGAUGAGGUCCAGUAAGAGGAAGAUAUUUUACAAACAGCACAUCGUUGUUAUCUCUUCCUGUAAGUUUGGUCCAUUUGAACAGAGG